This is an unclassified non-coding RNA of Callithrix jacchus (white-tufted-ear marmoset), 289 nucleotides long. It matches the Rfam family "Metazoan signal recognition particle RNA". Rfam says of the family: The signal recognition particle (SRP) is a universally conserved ribonucleoprotein. It is involved in the co-translational targeting of proteins to membranes. Lineage: Eukaryota; Metazoa; Chordata; Mammalia; Primates; Cebidae. The record is from Ensembl.
GCUGGGCACCAUGGCACGUGCCUGUACUCCCAGCUACUCGGGAGGCUGAGGUGGGAGGAUCACUUGAGCCCGGGGGUUCUGAGCUAUUGUGUGCUAUGCCAAUCGGGUGUCCGCACUAAGUUUGGCAUCAAUAUGGUGACUUUCCGGGAGUGGUGGACCACCAGGUUGCCUAAGAAGGCGUGAACCGGCCCAGGUCAGAAACAGAGCUGGUCAAAACUCCCAUGCUGAUCAGUAGAGGGAUCAUGCCACUGCACUCCAGCCUGGGAAACAUAGCGAGACCCCAUCUCUU